GACGAACGCUGGCGGCGUGCCUAAUACAUGCAAGUUGAGCGAUGAAGAUUGGUGCUUGCACCAAUUUGAAGAGCAGCGAACGGGUGAGUAACGCGUGGGGAAUCUGCCUUUGAGCGGGGGACAACAUUUGGAAACGAAUGCUAAUACCGCAUAACAACUUUAAACAUAAGUUUUAAGUUUGAAAGAUGCAAUUGCAUCACUCAAAGAUGAUCCCGCGUUGUAUUAGCUAGUUGGUGAGGUAAAGGCUCACCAAGGCGAUGAUACAUAGCCGACCUGAGAGGGCGAUCGGCCACAUUGGGACUGAGACACGGCCCAAACUCCUACGGGAGGCAGCAGUAGGGAAUCUUCGGCAAUGGACGAAAGUCUGACCGAGCAACGCCGCGUGAGUGAAGAAGGUUUUCGGAUCGUAAAACUCUGUUGGUAGAGAAGAACGUUGGUGAGAGUGGAAAGCUCAUCAAGUGACGGUAACUACCCAGAAAGGGACGGCUAACUACGUG
RNAcentral lists this ribosomal RNA (497 nucleotides) under uncultured bacterium. Its description in RNAcentral is "partial 16S ribosomal RNA". It matches the Rfam family "Bacterial small subunit ribosomal RNA", at positions 28 to 507 of the family's 1533-position model. The record is from RNAcentral.